UACGGAGGGUGCGAGCGUUGUCCGGAAUCACUGGGCGUAAAGAGCUCGUAGGCGGUUUGUCGCGUCGGCUGUGAAAACUCGGGGCUCAACCCCGAGCCUGCAGUCGAUACGGGCAGACUAGAGUGCUGUAGGGGAGACUGGAAUUCCUGGUGUAGCGGUGAAAUGCGCAGAUAUCAGGAGGAACACCGGUGGCGAAGGCGGGUCUCUGGGCAGUAACUGACGCUGAGGAGCGAAAGCGUGGGGAGCGAACAGG
RNAcentral lists this ribosomal RNA (253 nucleotides) under uncultured bacterium. RNAcentral describes it as "partial 16S ribosomal RNA". It matches the Rfam family "Bacterial small subunit ribosomal RNA", at positions 524 to 776 of the family's 1533-position model. The record is from RNAcentral.